GAUGAACGCUGGCGGCGUGCUUAACACAUGCAAGUCGAACGGGAAUUAUUUUAUUGAAACUUCGGUCGAUUUAAUUUAAUUCUAGUGGCGGACGGGUGAGUAACGCGUGGGUAACCUGCCUUAUACAGGGGGAUAACAGUCAGAAAUGGCUGCUAUUCCCGCUUAACGCACCAGGUCGCCAUGGCUCGGGGGAAAAACCUCGGGUGGUAUAAGAUGGACCCGCUUUGGAUUAGCUGGUUGGUGGGGUAACGGCCCACCAAGGCGACGAUCCAUAGCCGGCCUGAGAGGGUGAACGGCCACAUUGGGACUGAGACACGGCCCAGACUCCUACGGGAGGCAGCAGUGGGGAAUAUUGCACAAUGGGGGAAACCCUGAUGCAGCGACGCCGCGUGAAGGAAGAAGUAUCUCGGUAUGUAAACUUCUAUCAGCAGGGAAGAUAGUGACGGUACCUGACUAAGAAGCCCCGGCUAACUACGUG
Molecule: ribosomal RNA, 478 nt
Filed under: uncultured bacterium
Lineage: Bacteria
Description: partial 16S ribosomal RNA
Rfam family: Bacterial small subunit ribosomal RNA
Source: RNAcentral